AUGAUCUCCUUCAUGUUGUCCUCCCUGGUGCACGUGAUGAUGCUCAUCUGCUUCUCCCCCGAGCUCUGCCGCGCGCUCGCGAUGAACUCCCUCGCCGUCAGCGUCCUGCGUGCAUGCAUGCGUUCACCGUCUGUUGGCGAUUCAUGUCCGGAACAAGCUAUGCAGCGAGUGAAAUUUGUACCUGUAGUGUCCGGCGGACUCGGAGGCCGUGAGGAGGUGCUUGACGUCCUUGAUCAUGAUGCUGCCCACGGGCUUGCCGGCGCCGUCCACCACGGGGAUGCCGCCGACGCCGCGCCGCCUCAUCUGCCGGAACGCCUUGAGCGCCGGCUCGUCCUCGCAGACCUUGACCAGCCGGCUCGUCUUCAUGAGGGGGAGGCCCAGCUCGGCCAGCGUCUUGGUGCCCCAGUCCUCGAACCAGCUCAGCCCCACGCACUCGGCCAGCAUGUGCACCACCGCCGCCUGCGUCACCAUGUUGCUGAUGGUGCCCUCGCCGAUGUCCACCACGGGGAGGCUCUUCAUCCGGUACUUGGACAGCAGCAGCAGCAUGGUGAGGAACGUGUCCGAGCUCUGCAGCGCCAGGAACGGCGCCCACCGGAACGACCCGGAGAUGUCCUUCACCUUGGUCUUCCGGAACAGCUCCGACGACGGCAGCGACCCGAACGCCUCCGCCACCGCGCCCUCCGCCUCCGUGGCCGCCUUCAGCUCCCUCGCGCCGCCGCCACCGCCGCCGCUGCCCCCGUCGAGGGUCACCGUGCCGAGCUUGGCGGCCAGCUCGUCGGCGCCCAGCGCGGCGGCCGACGCCGAGGCCUCCGACCGGUGCAGCAGCCAGACGGCGAUCCCGGCGAACUCCACGAUGCCGAUGUAGCGGUCGAUCCAGCUCGCGUCCUCGGGCGCCUCCACGUUGCGCACGGGCGCGCCGUUGAUCCGGUUCCGGGAGAGGAUGUCGACGGCCUCGGCCAGCGUGGCGUCGGAGGGGAUGUCCACCAGCUGCGCCCCGAAGGUCUGCGGGAAGGAGGAGACGGCGAUGGCGUCGAAGCAGCUGUUGAGCUUGUCGCUCCGGCUCAGCUGCGGCUGGUCCAGGCUGUCCCAGAUGUCCUCCACCCGCAUCCCGAUCUCCGCCUCCGGGCUCCACCGCGCGCUCAGCGGCGUCUCCGCCACCGCCGACGCUGCAUCCUCCUCCUCCCGCUGCUCCGGCUUCGUCCGGAUCUCCCGCCUCGCCUGCAUGGCUCCCCUGUCUCCUCUCCUCUGUCGGAAGCCUCUGCUCCGCUGCCUUGCACACUGCCACUACUCUGCUCUUCUUGGCGACCACCCGUGACCUUGCGUUGCUUGGUCGCUUCCUCGGCCCGACAAUGGUGGCGCGAGCGAGCUGCCCGAAGGUUUCGCGCCAGAACCACAGGGGACGCUGACAAGUGGUUCGCCGCCCGGCAGCUGAGCUCUCAGACAUGCACCAAAAUUCCAGCAAAAAAAAAAACGGAGUUCCCCUCUGGACGACAACGGGCCGAAAUUUCUAAGCGGGCUUUGGAACGGGCCUAG
This 1533-nucleotide ribosomal RNA is filed under the name Triticum aestivum (bread wheat). RNAcentral's name for it is "partial small subunit ribosomal RNA". Lineage: Eukaryota; Viridiplantae; Streptophyta; Magnoliopsida; Poales; Poaceae. The record is from RNAcentral.